GACGAACGCUGGCGGCGUGCUUAACACAUGCAAGUCGAACGGAAAGGCCCUGCUUUUGUGGGGUGCUCGAGUGGCGAACGGGUGAGUAACACGUGAGUAACCUGCCCUUGACUUUGGGAUAACUUCAGGAAACUGGGGCUAAUACCGGAUAGGAGCUCCUGCUGCAUGGUGGGGGUUGGAAAGUUUCGGCGGUUGGGGAUGGACUCGCGGCUUAUCAGCUUGUUGGUGGGGUAGUGGCUUACCAAGGCUUUGACGGGUAGCCGGCCUGAGAGGGUGACCGGCCACAUUGGGACUGAGAUACGGCCCAGACGCCUACGGGAGGCAGCAGUGGGGAAUAUUGCACAAUGGGCGGAAGCCUGAUGCAGCAACGCCGCGUGCGGGAUGACGGCCUUCGGGUUGUAAACCGCUUUCGCCUGGGACGAAGCGUGAGUGACGGUAAUGGGUAAAGAGGCACCGGCUAACUACG
RNAcentral lists this ribosomal RNA (466 nucleotides) under uncultured bacterium. RNAcentral's name for it is "partial 16S ribosomal RNA". It matches the Rfam family "Bacterial small subunit ribosomal RNA", at positions 28 to 505 of the family's 1533-position model. The record is from RNAcentral.